This 579-nucleotide ribosomal RNA is filed under the name uncultured bacterium. Its description in RNAcentral is "partial 16S ribosomal RNA". It matches the Rfam family "Bacterial small subunit ribosomal RNA", at positions 355 to 932 of the family's 1533-position model. The record is from RNAcentral.
UGGGGAAUUUUGGACAAUGGGCGAAAGCCUGAUCCAGCGAUGCCGCGUGUGUGAAGAAGGCCUUCGGGUUGUAAAGCACUUUUGUCCGGAAAGAAAUCCUUGGCUCUAAUACAGUCGGGGGAUGACGGUACCGGAAGAAUAAGCACCGGCUAACUACGUGCCAGCAGCCGCGGUAAUACGUAGGGUGCAAGCGUUAAUCGGAAUUACUGGGCGUAAAGCGUGCGCAGGCGGUUUGCUAAGACCGAUGUGAAAUCCCCGGGCUCAACCUGGGAACUGCAUUGGUGACUGGCAGGCUAGAGUAUGGCAGAGGGGGGUAGAAUUCCACGUGUAGCAGUGAAAUGCGUAGAGAUGUGGAGGAAUACCGAUGGCGAAGGCAGCCCCCUGGGCCAAUACUGACGCUCAUGCACGAAAGCGUGGGGAGCAAACAGGAUUAGAUACCCUGGUAGUCCACGCCCUAAACGAUGUCAACUAGUUGUUGGGGAUUCAUUUCCUUAGUAACGUAGCUAACGCGUGAAGUUGACCGCCUGGGGAGUACGGUCGCAAGAUUAAAACUCAAAUGAAUUGACGGGGUCAUAGCUG